This 391-nucleotide long non-coding RNA is filed under the name Equus asinus (donkey). RNAcentral's name for it is "lncRNA (ENSEASG00005038560.1)". The record is from RNAcentral. Lineage: Eukaryota; Metazoa; Chordata; Mammalia; Perissodactyla; Equidae.
ACAAGGGUUCCCAGAGCAUGAUUCGAUGUCUGACCUUUUGCCACCCUGCACAGAGUCUCCAGAAAUUGUAGGGAAAGGACCAAGAGCUGGUUGGACACCCUGUGGACCGGAAAGAAUGCUGACUCAGGAGCCAGGUUAACAUCUUAAUGGAGGUAAGUGGUUCCAGCAAUUCCAUUAGGAGAGAGACUUCUGGCGGGGAAGCGUAAGCGUGUGAAGAAAGUUGAGCGAGGAAAGAAGCCACAAUUCUGAAAUGAACUAGUGUUUUACAUCAAAAACAGUCCUUUUUGGAAGGAGGACAGCCGCGUGGUUACGGAAAGGGGGCUCCGAGGCCGGCGCUGCAGUGUUUCGCCGGAGGAAGACAGCCGCGUAAGCAGGACCAUCUGGAGAGGAG